AUGACGGGGUUGAUAGGCUGCAGGUGUAAGUGUAGCAAUACAUUCAGCCGAGCAGUACUAAUAAAUCAUUGAUUUUUUGUU
RNAcentral lists this ribosomal RNA (81 nucleotides) under bacterium. Its description in RNAcentral is "partial 23S ribosomal RNA". It matches the Rfam family "Bacterial large subunit ribosomal RNA", at positions 2844 to 2925 of the family's 2925-position model. The record is from RNAcentral.